Non-coding RNA from Paramuricea clavata, 513 nucleotides. The record is from the annotation of a GenBank genome assembly. NCBI's taxonomy places the organism in Eukaryota, Metazoa, Cnidaria, Anthozoa, Malacalcyonacea, Plexauridae.
CCGGCACGAUGUUUCGUUGAUGACAUGAACCAGAGCUUCGUUUCAGUUAAUAGUAAGAUAGACUGAUCGUGUACUUUGUGCCCCCCCUAAGCACAGGCUCAGAAUUAAGAAUUGGAUAUAACUCUAAAUAUGCGAUAUUACUGUGUAACCAGUGUGCCGACCAUUUGCCAAAACACAAUUCGGUAUCAAAUAUGGCUUCGAAACCAAUCGAAGCUGAAGCAUCUCUAAACAUAUUAAGCUUGUUCGAGUUGCACCAUGCAAGUUUCGUCCAGGAAAAAUAAAAUACCAUUAAAAGAAUCAAAUCCUCUUUGACCUCCUGACGUAAACGAAUGAAAUAUCGUGGAUUCUGAACGCCUUGGGUUAGGUCAAUGGACGCCGUUAAAAUGCGCGACCUGGCACAAUUACGGAACAAGCAAAAUUUAACAAGCCAAUCAAGGAUUGGAAGUCUUUUAAGAUAACCAUUUUGCGAUUAAGAAAAGGAACCAUGGUGUCGACGCAUUUCGAAAGUUUGUC